GCCCUUCGGGGUACUCGAGCGGCGAACGGGUGAGUAACACGUGAGUAACCUGCCCCUGACUCUGGGAUAAGCCUGGGAAACCGGGUCUAAUACCGGAUACGACCAUUUCUCGCAUGUGAUGGUGGUGGAAAGUUUUUUCGGUUGGGGAUGGGCUCGCGGCCUAUCAGCUUGUUGGUGGGGUGAUGGCCUACCAAGGCGACGACGGGUAGCCGGCCUGAGAGGGCGACCGGCCACACUGGGACUGAGACACGGCCCAGACUCCUACGGGAGGCAGCAGUGGGGAAUAUUGCGCAAUGGGCGGAAGCCUGACGCAGCGACGCCGCGUGGGGGAUGACGGCCUUCGGGUUGUAAACCUCUUUCAGCAGGGACGAAGUUGACGUGUACCUGUAGAAGAAGCGCCGGCUAACUACGUGCCAGCAGCCGCGGUAAUACGUAGGGCGCAAGCGUUGUCCGGAAUUAUUGGGCGUAAAGAGCUCGUAGGUGGCUUGUCGCGUCUGCCGUGAAAGCCCGUGGCUUAACUACGGGUCUGCGGUGGAUACGGGCAGGCUAGAGGCUGGUAGGGGCAAGCGGAAUUCCUGGUGUAGCGGUGAAAUGCGCAGAUAUCAGGAGGAACACCGGUGGCGAAG
RNAcentral lists this ribosomal RNA (626 nucleotides) under Microbispora sp. TECR1. RNAcentral's name for it is "bacterial SSU rRNA". It matches the Rfam family "Bacterial small subunit ribosomal RNA", at positions 75 to 720 of the family's 1533-position model. The record is from RNAcentral. Lineage: Bacteria; Bacillati; Actinomycetota; Actinomycetes; Streptosporangiales; Streptosporangiaceae.